AGUUCCUCCCAGCGCCGAAAACAGGAAGCAGCCUCCGCUCACCUGGCGCAGGGGCCAGGAAGGAGUGUGUGAGCGCCGACACACCGGCCGCCCGGUUCCCAUUCCGUCAGCGCUGUUUACCCUCACCGGGCGCUUCCUGCGACCGAGCAGCGCGGCUAAAUCUCUUCACCAGCAGCGAGGAAAUGACUCACCUCAGGAAACCUUCCCUUUGCCCCCCACCCUCUGACCCCCCAAACUGGAGAUGCUGUGGGAAUUUCACUAAAAAUAUCCACACCACCUAAAAAUAAAGCCCGUCAACGGGCUCUUGCCUCAGGAAAUCCUGGCCAAAGCUCAUCUUACAUCACCGGUGGCCCUUGUCGACGUGGCCUCUCGGCGCCACGCCCUACCUGUCCUCUGAGCUUCAAGUUCAUUUUUUAAAAUCUGCCUGAACCUGCCUUUCCCGGCAACGAGAGAGCACAGAGUUGCAGGCCAAUUGCACGGAGCAAGCGCCUUCCCAAGGGAAAGAGAGAUCUAAUUCAAAACAAACAAGAUGGUGCAGCCAUGGCAGACCUUUGCCAGAGGGGCUUUGAAGCCUUGCUCGAUGCUCAGAAUGGCACAGUGGAAAGAGAAGAAGGCACCACAGUGAAAACAGCCUCUGGCCCCCUCUGCCUUGCCAUUUGCCAGGGUAGUAAGAAGAAAAACAUCAGUCAAUCCCACCUGAAGGACAUUCUACGAAAUACCUGACCAUCAUUCCUUACAACUGUCAGGGUCAGCAAAAACAAAGAAUUUCUGAGAAACUGUCAUAGGCGAGAGGAGCAUAAGGAGACAUGACGACUAAUUGUAAUGUGAUAUCCUGAUGAGAUCCCGGAACAAGAAAAGGACUUUAGGUAAAUACCUCUCCUUUGGUUACACCGCUUCAAAGAAUCAGGAGGUAGACCAGACAGAGGGGUCAGCAAGGAAAAUAGAUUUCAUAUUUAAUGCCAUCUUCUAUUGACUGGUCACAGCUAACUGAAACUCUGCCCUGAGAAGGAAGCUGCUUACUUGGCUCAGCCAGAUUGAUUUGCAGUUGAAUCCUGCCCUGAACCGAGAAGGAGGAGGAAGCAGCACAAAGGUACAUUGCCAUCUCUACACGUAUCACCAUACUUGGUUCAAGGGAUAUUCAGUGCAUAACACAAGGUCCUGCUCCUAAGACUAGGGGGGAAUAAUUCCAGCAAUAAUGAAAACUCUAAUGACAGUAGUGUAUUGUUCAGUCUCAGUCAGAACAACAAAUCAACUCCAGGUAUUUCAAGUAGGAAGGGAUUUAAUGCAGGAGACUGGGUAAUUAUAAAACUGUUGCAAAGGCUGAUGGGGAGAAGACCAGGGAAUGCCACCACAGGACCUCAGCCACUAGUCUUCAGACUGAAGAAGUUGCAAGAACUUUUGAAAAAUACUGACACCGAUAAUCACUGCCCAUGGCACUGAAGCGCAUGGAAAACUGAGCUCCAGGGUGGAGCCAAGAAAAGAACUCAGGUCUCCCUUUCAGUCCACCAGUCUUUCUACAUUUUUUUUGGUUUCUCUUUAUUAAAUGUGAGCUAUCAUUGUUCUGACAUUCAUACCCACCCAUGUCUUUAUCAG
Ailuropoda melanoleuca (giant panda) is the source of this 1593-nucleotide long non-coding RNA. RefSeq lists it as uncharacterized. NCBI's taxonomy places the organism in Eukaryota, Metazoa, Chordata, Mammalia, Carnivora, Ursidae. The transcript has 5 exons. The record is from RefSeq and is a predicted model, not a curated record.